RNAcentral lists this unclassified non-coding RNA (214 nucleotides) under uncultured Pseudotomentella. Its description in RNAcentral is "sequence contains ITS1". The record is from RNAcentral. Lineage: Eukaryota; Fungi; Basidiomycota; Agaricomycetes; Thelephorales; Thelephoraceae.
AUGAAAUGAAUGUCGAGAAGGGUUGUAGCUGGCCUUUUGGGGCAUGUGCACACCUUGAUCGCACAUCCACCUCUCACACCUGUGCACUAUGUGUAGCUUGGGAUGAUUACAGUGUUGGAAACGACGUUGAAAGCCCUAGCUAUGAAUUUUUAUACACCCACAUACAAAGUUAUAGAAUGGAUAAUGUUAUAGCGUGUAAUAGCGCGAAUAUAUA